UCUGUCUAAUCUACCUCUCUCUGUGAGAGAGAGAGAGAGGGAGAGAGAGGAUGGCGGGGGAUGUCGUGGGAAAGAUCGGUGGUCUUCGCCACCGUCGCCGUCGAUCACUCUUUCGACACCGUCAAGGUAACAGGUGUUUUUCUGUGUUGGUGGUUCAGCGUCAUUCUUGAGAGAAAUGUUUUACAAAUGCUUCCUUUCAUAUCGUCUAUCGCUAUGCACAAUAUCAAAUCCACUCAAAGUUGGAGAGUUCUUGGUUAAAAAGACAGCAAACUUGGUUGACAGACAUGGGAAUAGGCUGGCGGUGGUCUCGGUGGGAUAGCUUCCAAGAACUGCUCUGUCCAAGCCCUGACCCGACGUCUAAGUCCCCGGCCCUAAAACAUUCGCAUCCAUGCAUUUCCGUCGCUUUACUCCAUUUUCCGUGUCACGGGUCUUGCAGAUUUCCAUUCAUUGCAGGCAAUGUGAAGCAGUCCUACUUCACACACACACACACACAUAUAUAUAUUGUUUGAUCUCACCUUGUUAGCUGAAAUGUAUAUCAUAAUCUCAAUGAUUGUCUGUAUUAAAAAGAAUAUAUAUAUAUAAACUGAAUUUGAAGGGACAGGGGCUUUGCGCCGUUUCACCGGUUGCAUAAAAUAAAUCCCUUCCCCAAAAUGCACGUAAGCAAUAUUUAAACUCU
This is a long non-coding RNA of Tarenaya hassleriana, 676 nucleotides long. RefSeq lists it as uncharacterized. The transcript has 3 exons. The record is from RefSeq and is a predicted model, not a curated record. Lineage: Eukaryota; Viridiplantae; Streptophyta; Magnoliopsida; Brassicales; Cleomaceae.